Molecule: ribosomal RNA, 497 nt
Filed under: uncultured bacterium
Lineage: Bacteria
Description: partial 16S ribosomal RNA
Rfam family: Bacterial small subunit ribosomal RNA
Source: RNAcentral
GAUGAACGCUGGCGGCGUGCCUAAUACAUGCAAGUCGAGCGAACGGACGAGAAGCUUGCUUCGCUGAUGUUAGCGGCGGACGGGUAAGUAACACGUGCAUAACCUACCUAUAAGACUGGGAUAACUUCGGGAAACCGGCGCUAAUACCGGAUGAUAUUUUGAACCGCAUGGUUCAAAAGUGAAAGACGGUCUUGCUGUAACUUAUAGAUGGAUCCGCGCUGCAUUAGCUAGUUGGUAAGGUAACGGCUUACCAAGGCAACGAUGCAUAGCCGACCGGAGAGGGUGAUCGGCCACACUGGAAGGGAGACACGGUCCAGACUCCUACGGGAGGCAGCAGUAGGGAAUCUUCCGCAAGGGGCGAAAGCCUGACGGAGCAACGCCGCGUGAGGGAUGAGGGUCUUCGGGUCGUAAAACUCUGUUAUUAGGGAAGAACAUAUGUGUAAGUAACUGUGCAGAUCUUGACGGUACCUAAUCAGAAAGCCACGGCUAACUACGUG